This 112-nucleotide ribosomal RNA is filed under the name Acanthosepion pharaonis. The record is from RNAcentral. Lineage: Eukaryota; Metazoa; Mollusca; Cephalopoda; Sepiida; Sepiidae.
UACAGUCAUAUCAUGUUGAAACUCCAGUUCCCAUAAAAUCCCUGAAGUUAAGCAACGUUGAGCCUGGUUAGUACCUAGAUAGGUGACUGCUUGAGAAUACCAGGUGAUGUAA